RNAcentral lists this ribosomal RNA (274 nucleotides) under uncultured bacterium. Its description in RNAcentral is "partial 16S ribosomal RNA". It matches the Rfam family "Bacterial small subunit ribosomal RNA", at positions 523 to 796 of the family's 1533-position model. The record is from RNAcentral.
AUACGGAGGGUGCAAGCGUUACUCGGAAUCACUGGGCGUAAGGCGCGCGCAGGCGGCUUGAUAAGUUGGAUGUGAAAGCCUACGGCUCAACCGUAGAACUGCAUCCAAAACUGUCAGGCUAGAGUGUGGGAGAGGAAGAUGGAAUUAGUUGUGUAGGGGUAAAAUCCGUAGAGAUAACUAGGAAUACCAAAAGCGAAGGCAAUCUUCUGGAACACUACUGACGCUGAGGCGCGAAGGCGUGGGGAGCAAACAGGAUUAGAAACCCCGGUAGUCC